AUGGACCGCGGCAUCUUCCACGCGUUCGAGCACCUCGUCGAGACCGGCGAGGUCCCGUUCCAGGAGACGGCCCCCGAGCCGUCCCGCUCCUUCUACGCGGCCAGCGAGGCGGCCGCGGCCGUGGCCCGUGCCGUGGACGCGCUCGGCCUCGCGCCUGUCCACCUCGUGCUCCACGACUCCGCCCUCGCCGCCGGCGCCGCCUUCGUGUCGGCCAACCCGGCGGCCGUGCAGAGCGUCACUCUGAUCGACGCCACCACCACCUUGCCGGCCUUCCCGGCGGCCGUUCUCGGCGUGCCGGCGCUGGGAAGGCUGGUGCUGCGGGUGCCGGCAUUGUUCAAGGGGCUGGUGCGUCUGUCCUGCGCUCGGGGGAUGGAUGCAGAGGAGGCUGACGCGCACAGGGCGGCGGUGCGGGGGCAGGGGAAGAGGGAUGCAGUGUUUGAGGCCUGGAAGGCCAUGAACCAUAGUUUUGACCUGAGAGAGUGGAGGAGCUCUUCAGAGGAGGUGAAGAGGCUGCCGAUGAUGGUUCUGUGGUCGGGUUCUUGGUCGGAUAUGUGGAUCGAUGAGGGGAAGAAGGUGACCAAGGCGUUGCCGGACGCCAAAUUCAUCUACCAUUACGGUGGCCGGUGGCCUCAGGUGGAUGCAUAUGAGGAAAUCUCAAAGUUGAUAGCAGAGUUUGUGACCAUGUUACCAACAACUGCGACAGAGCACGGGUCGGAGAAUAUGGACCAAUCAUCCGGCGAAUCAGCAGAUGCUCACAGCGAUCAUCCAGUUUCAUGA
RNAcentral lists this ribosomal RNA (777 nucleotides) under Triticum aestivum (bread wheat). Its description in RNAcentral is "partial small subunit ribosomal RNA". The record is from RNAcentral. Lineage: Eukaryota; Viridiplantae; Streptophyta; Magnoliopsida; Poales; Poaceae.